UUCCCGGCACAGAAGAGGGACCUAAAGCAGCCCUUACGAGGCUGAGAUCGCCGGUUCAAGUCCGGCCCGGCCCACCA
RNAcentral lists this transfer RNA (77 nucleotides) under Candidatus Bathyarchaeota archaeon. RNAcentral describes it as "tRNA-Val". Lineage: Archaea; Thermoproteati; Candidatus Bathyarchaeota. The record is from RNAcentral.